Salvia hispanica is the source of this 1978-nucleotide non-coding RNA. Lineage: Eukaryota; Viridiplantae; Streptophyta; Magnoliopsida; Lamiales; Lamiaceae. The record is from RefSeq and is a predicted model, not a curated record.
UUUUGUACAGAGGGAGAAGAAGACGUUGUCACUUUCGCAGACGAAAGCUGGAUAUUUCCAGCAUAGUUUGAAAGCCAAAAACGAGAGUAGGUUUAACUAAGAAGGACUUUGCCGGUCGCCGGAGAUAUGAUGAGCUUCUCUAUUUCCCCCAAUCCACAUUCCUUACAUCUCACAUCUACAAAUUUUUGUUCCUCAAAUCGUCGCUCAAUCAUCACCUUCUCAUAUCCUAAUUCAGCGGGAGACGUCGGCGCCACCCCCGCCGAGUCCCUCAGGCGAAUUCUUCGUGCUCCGGGAGCUCACCUCGGCCCAGCUUGUUUCGACGCAUUGAGCGCAAAGCUCGUCCAUCGUGCUGGUUUCGAUUUCUGCUUCACUACUGGGUUUGGAAUAUCAGCUUCUCGCUUAGGAUUACCAGACACUGGGCUUGUGUCUUAUGGAGAGAUGGUGGAUCAAGGACAACAAAUAACUGGGGCUGUGCCCAUCCCCGUCAUUGGUGAUGCAGACAAUGGAUACGGUAAUCCUAUGAAUGUUAAAAGGACUGUAAGAGGGUACAUUCGAGCUGGUUUUGCUGGAUUAAUUCUUGAAGAUCAGGUUUCUCCAAAAGCAUGUGGUCAUACACAAGGGCGCCAAGUUGUAUCCAGAGAGGAGGCAAUAAUGAGAAUAAAAGCAGCUGUUGAUGCUCGAAAGGAGAGUGGUUCUGACAUUGUCAUAGUGGCACGAACUGAUUCUCGUCAAGCUGUGUCUUUAGAAGAGUCUCUUUGGAGGGCACGUGCUCUUGGUAAUGCGGGAGCUGAUGUGUUGUUUAUUGACGCACUUGCUUCAAAGGAAGAGAUGGAGGCCUUUUGUGAAGUGUGUCCCCAAGUCCCAAAGAUGGCCAAUAUGCUUGAAGGAGGUGGGAAGACACCUAUACUCAGUCCUAAUGAGCUGGCUGAUAUAGGAUACAAACUUGUGGCAUAUCCUUUGUCUCUGAUGGGUGUUUCCAUUCGUGCAAUGCAGGAUGCUUUGUUGGCUAUCAAAGGAGGUCGGAUGCCCCCUCCGGGAAGUAUGCCUUCUUUUGAAGAACUUAAGGAAAUCUUGGGCUUUAAUGCAUAUUAUGAAGAAGAGAUGCGGUACAGCACCAAGUCUACCAAACCUAACUCACAAAAGAGUUAUUCCUCUGUAAGCAACUCUUCUUACAGCAUACAACAGAGUACCAAAAUCGACCCAGAAAAAAAUAAUCAGAGUGCCCAAAAUCCCAAUGUGGAAGUAGUGAUCCCUGAGAUAUUCAGUUCAAAAGGUUCAUUCUCUGGCAUUUGGUCACGAAAACUGAGAAUCAAAAUAACUGGCCGAGAUGGGUUUGAAAGACUAGAUGUCCGAGUGCCUGCUGGUUUUCUGGAUGGCAUAACAAAUGUAGUUCCAGCCUUGGGAGGCAUAAACAUCAAGGAGUUGUUAGAUGAUGCAGCUCUAGAAGAGGGAGGCAAGCAGUUACUCGACUUCAAUGAUACAAUGGGGGAUAGAAUCCAAGUAUUUCUGGAGUAAUUGAUUUAGCUACUUGCUCUUGCAUUUUGAUAGCAGCAUGUGUUCUAUAUAUCUCUUUUUGGAGCACCAUUGAACUCAUGCGGCAGAUACAUGCGCCACUAAGAGAUAAUCCCAAGUGCAACAAUGCCUUUAGUAAUGUAGCAUCAUACAUGUCCCCGACCAUGUAACUUUCAAAUGUGAUGCUCGAACUACGACCAGUGUUGGAUGGAGUUGUGUGAUGUUGCAAUAUCAAAGAUUGACAACUGUGGUGCAGGUAUAUCGGUGUGAUAUUGACCUAUGUUCAAGGUCGAGACAUUUAGAACAUAAGAUCAAGGUCUCAAGUGCUAAACCUGAUGAGGAAUAUUGAUUACCAAUUUACCAUGUAGCCUAUAUUAUGCGCAUAACAUCAGAGUGUUGAUUUGCACAUUCAGUCCUCAAAGUUGCGUUGUGCCUACAAAUUCCAUCCAUUUCAUUCUAUGUAGAC